AUUGAACGCUGGCGGCAGGCCUAACACAUGCAAGUCGAGCGGAUGAAGGGAGCUUGCGCCUGGAUUCAGCGGCGGACGGGUGAGUAAUGCCUAGGAAUCUGCCUGGUAGUGGGGGAGAACGUCCGGAAACGGGCGCUAAUACCGCAUACGUCCUGAGGGAGAAAGUGGGGGAUGUUCGGACCUCACGCUAGCAGAGGAGCCUAGGUCGGAUUAGCUAGUUGGUGGGGUAAAGGCCUACCAAGGCGACGAUCCGUAACUGGUCUGAGAGGCUGAUCAGUCACACUGGAACUGGGCCGCCGUCCUGGCUCCUACGGGACGCAGCAGUGGGCAAUAUUGGACAGUGGGCGGAAGCCUUAUCCAGCCAUGCCGCGUGUGUUAAGAAGGUCUUCGGAUUGUAAAGCACUUUAAGUUGGGAGGAAGGGCAGUAAGUUAAUACCUUGCUGUUUUGACGUUACCAACAGAAUAAGCACCGGCUAACUUCGUG
This 484-nucleotide ribosomal RNA is filed under the name uncultured bacterium. Its description in RNAcentral is "partial 16S ribosomal RNA". It matches the Rfam family "Bacterial small subunit ribosomal RNA", at positions 30 to 507 of the family's 1533-position model. The record is from RNAcentral.